UACAAAAUAAGCUAAAUAUAAGCUGUUGGGUUCAUACCCCAAAAAUGAGAAAACUCUUUUGUAA
This 64-nucleotide transfer RNA is filed under the name Marisa cornuarietis. Its description in RNAcentral is "tRNA-Met". Lineage: Eukaryota; Metazoa; Mollusca; Gastropoda; Architaenioglossa; Ampullariidae. The record is from RNAcentral.